Molecule: ribosomal RNA, 429 nt
Filed under: uncultured Stenotrophomonas sp.
Lineage: Bacteria; Pseudomonadati; Pseudomonadota; Gammaproteobacteria; Lysobacterales; Lysobacteraceae
Also listed under: 2 other names
Description: bacterial SSU rRNA
Rfam family: Bacterial small subunit ribosomal RNA
Source: RNAcentral
UGGGGAAUAUUGGACAAUGGGCGCAAGCCUGAUCCAGCCAUACCGCGUGGGUGAAGAAGGCCUUCGGGUUGUAAAGCCCUUUUGUUGGGAAAGAAAAGCAGUCGGUUAAUACCCGAUUGUUCUGACGGUACCCAAAGAAUAAGCACCGGCUAACUUCGUGCCAGCAGCCGCGGUAAUACGAAGGGUGCAAGCGUUACUCGGAAUUACUGGGCGUAAAGCGUGCGUAGGUGGUUGUUUAAGUCUGUCGUGAAAGCCCUGGGCUCAACCUGGGAAUUGCGAUGGAAACUGGGCGACUAGAGUGUGGCAGAGGGUAGUGGAAUUCCUGGUGUAGCAGUGAAAUGCGUAGAGAUCAGGAGGAACAUCCGUGGCGAAGGCGACUGCCUGGGCCAACACUGACACUGAGGCACGAAAGCGUGGGGAGCAAACAGG